This 467-nucleotide ribosomal RNA is filed under the name uncultured bacterium. RNAcentral's name for it is "partial 16S ribosomal RNA". It matches the Rfam family "Bacterial small subunit ribosomal RNA", at positions 29 to 507 of the family's 1533-position model. The record is from RNAcentral.
ACGAACGCUGGCGGCGUGCUUCACACAUGCAAGUCGAACGGAAAGGCCCUGCUUUUGUGGGGUGCUCGAGUGGCGAACGGGUGAGUAACACGUGAGUAACCUGCCCUUGACUUUGGGAUAACUUCAGGAAACUGGGGCUAAUACCGGAUAGGAGCUCCUGCUGCAUGGUGGGGGUUGGAAAGUUUCGGCGGUUGGGGAUGGACUCGCGGCUUAUCAGCUUGUUGGUGGGGUAGUGGCUUACCAAGGCUUUGACGGGUAGCCGGCCUGAGAGGGUGACCGGCCACAUUGGGACUGAGAUACGGCCCAGACUCCUACGGGAGGCAGCAGUGGGGAAUAUUUCACAAUGGGCGGAAGCCUGAUGCAGCAACGCCGCGUGCGGGAUGACGGCCUUCGGGUUGUAAACCGCUUUCGCCUGUGACGAAGCGUGAGUGACGGUAAUGGGUAAAGAAGCACCGGCUAACUACGUG